This 409-nucleotide ribosomal RNA is filed under the name Actinomycetes bacterium. RNAcentral describes it as "Actinobacteria bacterium partial 16S ribosomal RNA". It matches the Rfam family "Bacterial small subunit ribosomal RNA", at positions 355 to 776 of the family's 1533-position model. Lineage: Bacteria; Bacillati; Actinomycetota; Actinomycetes. The record is from RNAcentral.
UGGGGAAUAUUGCACAAUGGGCGGAAGCCUGAUGCAGCGACGCCUCGUGGUGGAAGAAGGCCUUCUGGUCGUAAACUCUUUUCGACAGGGACGAAGCUUGUGUGACGGUACCAGUAUAAGAAGCACCGGCUAACUACGUGCCAGCAGCCGCGGUAAUACGUAGGUUGCGAGCGUUGUCCGGAAUUACUGGGCGUAAAGAGCUCGUAGGUGGUUUGUCGCGUCGUCUGUGAAAUUCCGAGGCUUAACUCCGGGCGUGCAGGCGAUACGGGCUGACUUGAGUGCUGUAGGGGAGACUGGAAGUCCUGGUGUAGCGGUGGAAUGCGCAGAUAUCAGGAGGAACACCGAUGGCGGAGGCAGGUCUCUGGGCAGUAACUAACGCUGAGGAGCGGAAACAUCGGUAGCGAACAGG